RNAcentral lists this ribosomal RNA (478 nucleotides) under uncultured bacterium. Its description in RNAcentral is "partial 16S ribosomal RNA". It matches the Rfam family "Bacterial small subunit ribosomal RNA", at positions 28 to 507 of the family's 1533-position model. The record is from RNAcentral.
GAUGAACGCUGGCGGCGUGCUUAACACAUGCAAGUCGAACGAGAAGUGGAGACGGAAACCUUCGGGCGGAAGACUUUAUUUCGAGUGGCGGACGGGUGAGUAACGCGUGGGUAACCUGCCUCAUACAGGGGGAUAACAGUAGGAAACGACUGUUAAUACCGCAUAAGACCACAGCACCGCAUGGUGCGGGGGUAAAAACUCCGGUGGUAUGAGAUGGACCCGCGUUCGAUUAGCCAGUUGGCGGGGUAACGGCCCACCAAAGCGACGAUCGAUAGCCGAUCUGAGAGGAUGACCGGCCACAUUGGGACUGAGACACGGCCCAAACUCCUACGGGAAGCAGCAGUGGGGAAUAUUGCACAAUGGGGGAAACCCUGAUGCAGCGACGCCGCGUGAGUGAAGAAGUAUUUCGGUAUGUAAAGCUCUAUCAGCAGGGAAGAAAAUGACGGUACCUGAGGAAGAAGCCCCGGCUAACUACGUG